GAGCAUUUUGAAAUUUUUGAAAUUUUUGACAUUUGUGAUGGUUCCUAUAACAACAGAGACCAUUCCCAAAAUUUAAUGGCAUAUACCACAUUGGUACAUGGGAGGGACCAUACCAUCAAAGUUUCGAUCCAUUUGACCUACCAUUUUAAGAAAGUUAAUGCCACUUUAAGGUUUUUGGACCAUUUUGACCUGUUUUGCAUUGUUUCCAUGGUAACGGCAGACAUUUUCAAAAUUCCAACGCCAAAUUCCACAUCUUACAAUGUUGCUCAUCGUUUCUGUGAAGUUUUAUUAAAUUUGGAGCAUUUUCAUAUUUUUGAAAUUUUUGGUGUGGUAUCCAUGGCAACAUAGCAGUUCCAAUGAUUGCCAAAAUCAUCCCAAAGCAGUAUACAGUGGGCACCUACAUUGUAUUAAAAUCUAAAGAUUUUAAGCUUAAGCAUUCUCAAACAAUUCCCUUAACUCUAAAAUUAUAUUUUUUCACCAUUUUUUCGUUUCCAUGGUGAUGGCAGCCAUUUUUUUAGUGCCAAUACCGAAAAGCAACAGGAAAGUCAGGGUUCCUUGUUAUAGUGCAC
This 569-nucleotide long non-coding RNA is filed under the name Mytilus galloprovincialis (Mediterranean mussel). Lineage: Eukaryota; Metazoa; Mollusca; Bivalvia; Mytilida; Mytilidae. The record is from RNAcentral.